CUACGUGCCAGCAGCCGCGGUAAUACGUAGGUGGCAAGCGUUGUCCGGAUUUAUUGGGCGUAAAGCGAGCGCAGGCGGUUCCUUAAGUCUGAUGUGAAAGCCCCCGGCUCAACCGGGGAGGGUCAUUGGAAACUGGGGAACUUGAGUGCAGAAGAGGAGAGUGGAAUUCCAUGUGUAGCGGUGAAAUGCGUAGAUAUUAGGAAGAACACCAGUGGCGAAGGCGACUUUCUGGACGAAAACUGACGCUGAGGCGCGAAAGCCAGGGGAGCGAACGGGAUUAGAUACCCCGGUAGUCCUGGCCGUAAACGAUGGGUACUAGGUGUAGGAGGUAUCGACCCCUUCUGUGCCGGAGUUAACGCAAUAAGUACCCCGCCUGGGGAGUACGACCGCAAGGUUGAAACUCAAAGGAAUUGACGGGGGCCCGCACAAGCGGUGGAGUAUGUGGUUUAAUUCGACGCAACGCGAAGAACCUUACCAGGUCUUGACA
RNAcentral lists this ribosomal RNA (487 nucleotides) under uncultured bacterium. RNAcentral's name for it is "bacterial SSU rRNA". It matches the Rfam family "Bacterial small subunit ribosomal RNA", at positions 501 to 986 of the family's 1533-position model. The record is from RNAcentral.